GUGAGUCAUCGAAUCUUUGAACGCAUAUUGCACCCUCUGGUAUUCCGGAGGGUAUGCCUGUUUGAGUGUCAUUAUUGUCUCAAACCAAAGGAAUUUUUUUCUUUGUGUUUUGGAUGUUGAAGGUUUGCUGGCUGUUUCUGUCGGCUCCUUUUAAAUGCAUUAGCAGGACUUGUGCAGUACCAGCUCUGGUUUGAUACAUUGAUAUCUGAGCUAUUGCUGGAACUGCUCUCGGUUCCGCUUCUUAACUGUCUGCACUGGCUGUGGACUUGUCCAACUGGGCAAAAUUAAUGAUAAAUUGAC
Molecule: unclassified non-coding RNA, 300 nt
Filed under: uncultured Agaricales
Lineage: Eukaryota; Fungi; Basidiomycota; Agaricomycetes; Agaricales
Description: sequence contains 5.8S rRNA gene, ITS2
Rfam family: 5.8S ribosomal RNA (bases 1-71)
Source: RNAcentral